AGAGUUUGAUCAUGGCUCAGAAUCAACGCUGGCGGCGUGCCUCAGACAUGCAAGUCGAACGCGAAAGUCCCCUUCGGGGGGCGAGUAGAGUGGCGCACGGGUGAGUAACACGUAGGUAAUCUACCUUUGGAUGGGGAAUAACAACCGGAAACGGUUGCUAAUACCGCAUAAUGCAGCGGCACCUAAUGGUGACAGUUGUUAAAGCGGGGGAUCGAAAGACCUCGCGUCUGAAGAGGAGCCUGCGGCGGAUUAGCUAGUUGGUAAGGUAACGGCUUACCAAGGCUACGAUCCGUAGCCGGCCUGAGAGGGCGGUCGGCCACACUGACACUGACAUACGGGUCAGACUCCUACGGGAGGCAGCAGUCGGGAAUUUUGGGCAAUGGGCGAAAGCCUGACCCAGCAACGCCGCGUGAAGGAUGAAAUCCCUCGGGAUGUAAACUUCGCAAGAACGGGAAGAAUAAGUAGGGGCCAAUACCCCCUAUGAUGACGGUACCGUUUGUAAGCUCCGGCUAACUCCGUGCCAGCAGCGGCGGUAAUAC
Molecule: ribosomal RNA, 539 nt
Filed under: uncultured bacterium
Lineage: Bacteria
Description: bacterial SSU rRNA
Rfam family: Bacterial small subunit ribosomal RNA
Source: RNAcentral